RNAcentral lists this ribosomal RNA (431 nucleotides) under uncultured bacterium. Its description in RNAcentral is "bacterial SSU rRNA". It matches the Rfam family "Bacterial small subunit ribosomal RNA", at positions 30 to 424 of the family's 1533-position model. The record is from RNAcentral.
AUUGAACGCUGGCGGCAUGCUUUACACAUGCAAGUCGAACGGCAGCACAGCAGAGGUAACUCUGUGGGUGGCGAGUGGCGAACGGGUGAGUAAUACAUCGGAACGUACCCUGUUGUGGGGGAUAACUACGCGAAAGCGUAGCUAAUACCGCAUACGCCCUGAGGGGGAAAGCGGGGGGACCCUAAAUAGAGCGCACUGGGGAGUGCGUUGUAUUUAGGGCCUCGCGCAAUAGGAGCGGCCGAUGUCGGAUUAGCUAGUUGGUGAGGUAAAGGCUUACCAAGGCGACGAUCCGUAGCUGGUCUGAGAGGAUGAUCAGCCACACUGGGACUGAGACACGGCCCAGACUCCUACGGGAGGCAGCAGUGGGGAAUUUUGGACAAUGGGGGCAACCCUGAUCCAGCCAUGCCGCGUGAGUGAAGAAGGCCUCGGUU